UGGGGAAUAUUGCACAAUGGUGGGAACUCUGAUGCAGCGACGCCGCGUGAGUGAUGAAGGAAGUCGUUUCGUAAAAAUCUGUUCUAUGGGAAGAAAAGGACUGCACCAUAGGAGAAAGCUCCGGCUAAAUACGUGCCAGCAGCCGCGGUAAUACGUAUGGAGCGAGCGUUGUCCGGAAUUAUUGGGCGUAAAGGGUGCGCAGGCGGCUUUACAAGUUGGAUGAGAAAUAUUGUGGCUCAACCACAAACGUGCAUCCAAAACUGCAAAGCUUGAGUUAACGAGAGGUAAGUGGAAUUCCUGGUGUAGCGGUCGAAUACGUAGAUAUCAAAAGGAAUACCAGUGGCUAAGGCGACUUACUGAACUUAAACUAACGCUAAGGCACGAAAGCGUGGGGAGCAAACAGG
RNAcentral lists this ribosomal RNA (404 nucleotides) under Fusobacteriota bacterium. RNAcentral describes it as "Fusobacteria bacterium partial 16S ribosomal RNA". It matches the Rfam family "Bacterial small subunit ribosomal RNA", at positions 355 to 776 of the family's 1533-position model. Lineage: Bacteria; Fusobacteriati; Fusobacteriota. The record is from RNAcentral.